UGACUUAAAAAAAUUCAAUUCAUAAAGUGGAACGCAAAUACAUACAUUUUCAGAAAUCACUAUUUUCUCAUUAAACACUUGGAUAUUUCGAGUUUGUAGAAUUUGUGUGAAAUUACGGACCCCUAAAACUUUAAACUAACACUGCUUAUAUACAACUCCUAACAUAACCGUCUACAACGACCGACUCAACAAAACUUGCCACGUCUUCGUCUCCAUGUAAUCUUCGUUCUCGACUGACUUCCACGUGUUCUGGAAUAACUGUCUGAUCUUAUCCGCUUGUGCCUCGUUCGACCGCGUGGAGAGUAACAUUGCAUUAAAAGCUAAGAAUUUCACUAAGUCCAAAAACAAACAAAUCUUAACUAACUGCUUGGAAAUUUGAGUAAUGUCACCAAUAUCAUUUGAUGGGAUCAAUUUGUUUGCAUACCUAAUUCCAUGGUCGAAUGACCAUUUCGACCUAAGUAAAAACCCAAGUCAUCAAACAAUCUUAAAAAAUUGUCAAAUUCUUACAAUCAAGGCUUGUGUCAGAAAUCCGAGGUAACAAAUUGUCCCCUAAAAUGCGAUGUUUCGACUUUCCUUUUAAUGAGAAUGAGAAAAAUGGCAUUUUUGAAAUGAUUUUCGACAUUGUUUAAAAACCAUUUUGCUGAUGUCAGCGUCAUCGUUGCGCCUUUUCACAAACCUCUGUUCAACAAGAUUUUCUAACCAUCAUAGUCCUGCUUCCUAGAAGAGUGGAAAGUUACUUCUGCCACUAACUCUUCCACGUCCUGAAUAGGAAUCGUUUCCGACUGUCACAUGAAUGUCACUUGUCGAACGAUUGCUUACCACCAUCCUCUAUAAAUAACAGUCUCAUUUCUUCAUUUCAAACUCUUCCAACUUCAAACACUAAUAUGCACUAGUCUUUUCACUCAUAAAUAUCUUUUUCCACAUAGCUUCAAAAGAAGAAAAAAUGGCAACUCUCACCACCUCUGUACCAGUCACCGGCAAGAAAAUCCAAUAGCACUCACGAUUCCGGCAUCAGAAAAAGAUAUGUGGAGAUAUUUCGUACCUAAGCCACCACUCGCCAAUGAGAAAAUCUCCAUCUGGGCUAAACAAAUAUGUAUUCUCUCCCCCCUCUCUAAUAAACUCUUAGCAUUUUUAGGUACGUUUCUCACUGCUAAGUCAAACCCUGGGAAGGUAAAAAGUUUCUUUCCAUGUUAUCCUAUCACCAUGCCUUCUGUGUUCGAAGAAUGCU
Molecule: long non-coding RNA, 1228 nt
Filed under: Lathyrus oleraceus (garden pea)
Lineage: Eukaryota; Viridiplantae; Streptophyta; Magnoliopsida; Fabales; Fabaceae
Description: Pisum sativum (pea) long non-coding RNA (PSAT_LNC024437)
Source: RNAcentral